AUUGAACGCUGGCGGCAGGCUUAACACAUGCAAGUCGAGCGGWAACRRKRRKAGCUUGCUWYYMGSYGWCGAGCGGCGGACGGGUGAGUAAUACUUAGGAAUCUACCUAGUAGUGGGGGAUAGCACGGGGAAACUCGUAUUAAUACCGCAUACGACCUACGGGAGAAAGGGGGCAGUUUACUGCUCUCGCUAUUAGAUGAGCCUAAGUCGGAUUAGCUAGAUGGUGGGGUAAAGGCCUACCAUGGCGACGAUCUGUAGCUGGUCUGAGAGGAUGAUCAGCCACACCGGGACUGAGACACGGCCCGGACUCCUACGGGAGGCAGCAGUGGGGAAUAUUGGACAAUGGGGGAAACCCUGAUCCAGCCAUGCCGCGUGUGUGAAGAAGGCCUUUUGGUUGUAAAGCACUUUAAGCAGUGAAGAAGACUCCRUGGUUAAUACCCAYGGACGAUGACAUUAGCUGCAGAAUAAGCACCGGCUAACUCUGUGCCAGCAGCCGCGGUAAUACAGAGGGUGCAAGCGUUAAUCGGAAUUACUGGGCGUAAAGGGAGCGUAGGUGGCUCUAUAAGUCAGAUGUGAAAUCCCCGGGCUUAACCUGGGAACUGCAUCUGAAACUGUAGAGCUAGAGUAUGUGAGAGGAAGGUAGAAUUCCAGGUGUAGCGGUGAAAUGCGUAGAGAUCUGGAGGAAUACCGAUGGCGAAGGCAGCCUUCUGGCAUAAUACUGACACUGAGGCUCGAAAGCGUGGGUAGCAAACAGGAUUAGAUACCCUGGUAGUCCACGCCGUAAACGAUGUCUACUAGUCGUUGGGUCCCUUGAGGACUUAGUGACGCAGCUAACGCAAUAAGUAGACCGCCUGGGGAGUACGGCCGCA
RNAcentral lists this ribosomal RNA (869 nucleotides) under Psychrobacter sp. B1-1. RNAcentral's name for it is "bacterial SSU rRNA". It matches the Rfam family "Bacterial small subunit ribosomal RNA", at positions 28 to 890 of the family's 1533-position model. The record is from RNAcentral. Lineage: Bacteria; Pseudomonadati; Pseudomonadota; Gammaproteobacteria; Moraxellales; Moraxellaceae.